GUCGAACGUCGUUUUCGGGGAGCUGGGAAGAAGGAAAAGAGGCUCAACGCUACUAAAGAAGGUAGCUGUCUCGCCAGAGGGGGAGCCGUUGAGAACAAAGUGGC
This 104-nucleotide ribosomal RNA is filed under the name Peperomia serpens. RNAcentral describes it as "partial small subunit ribosomal RNA". The record is from RNAcentral. Lineage: Eukaryota; Viridiplantae; Streptophyta; Magnoliopsida; Piperales; Piperaceae.